AGUUGCUCAUUCACCUUUUUAUGAUGGCCCCGUAUUUAGACGGAUCAGUCGCCUCAUAAGCCUCCGAAUGAUGCCAAAGAAAUGGUGCCUAUCGUCCAACCAAACCGAUAACGGCUCGCGCAAGCGGCUUUAUCAAGCAUCGGGCGACACGUGGAGUGAGGCACCGCCUG
Molecule: small RNA, 170 nt
Filed under: Serratia ficaria
Lineage: Bacteria; Pseudomonadati; Pseudomonadota; Gammaproteobacteria; Enterobacterales; Yersiniaceae
Description: Glm Y RNA activator of glmS mRNA
Rfam family: Glm Y RNA activator of glmS mRNA
About the family: This family consists of a number of bacterial RNA genes of around 167 bases in length. The function of this RNA is unknown.
Source: Rfam by way of RNAcentral